This 363-nucleotide ribosomal RNA is filed under the name Tetragnatha sp. RNAcentral describes it as "partial small subunit ribosomal RNA". Lineage: Eukaryota; Metazoa; Arthropoda; Arachnida; Araneae; Tetragnathidae. The record is from RNAcentral.
UCUAUUUAUACCAGAAAAAGGUAGUAACCCCUGACAAACCUCUACAUCAUGGUGGCAUUUCAUUUUAUUAGAGGAAUAUGUUUAAUAAUCGUAAACACACGAUUACUUUCACUUUUAAUAAUAUUUUAUAUACCGCCGUCUAGAAUAAAUAAAAAAAUUUUAUUCAAAAUAAAUUUCUAGAAAUUUAGGUAAAGGUGUAAACUAUAUAAGAGAUAAAAUGUAUUACACUAAAAAAAAUUUAAGGAUUAAACUAAACAUAGUUUUAAGAAAAAGGAUUUAUAAGUAUAAUUUUAUUAAAAUUAUAAUUUGAAUUAAAAAAUAAAUGUAUACAUAUCGCCCGUCACCCUUAUCUCAAGGUAAGGU